This is a long non-coding RNA of Equus caballus (horse), 853 nucleotides long. Lineage: Eukaryota; Metazoa; Chordata; Mammalia; Perissodactyla; Equidae. The record is from Ensembl.
CAUAUCGUUACUAUCCCCUUUACAGAGGAGGAAGACAACACUUGGAGAAAUUGGUUAAGUUGACCAAAUUUGGACGUUAGUAAAUGGCAGCGUUGGUUUCUGGAUCUCCUUGACUCCAAGUCCCCUGCUUUUAAUCCCUUUCUAGACUGUUCUGAGCUGUGUUCCCAGCAGAUUCUCUGCCUCCAGAAGUCAUCUGCGCAUCUUCUCUCUGCACUUUGUGUAGGAUGGAAGGUUGAUAUUGCAGUUACAUAAUGGGAAGAAGAAAAAAAGUGACAAAAGACACCAGACCCAUGACUUUCUAUGUUCAAAACACAUCAUCCCCUGAGGCAAGCAUGGGGCUCAUGAUCUCCAGUAGGCCAUGGGAAAGUCAAAAAGGAAGUAGAUUCCAACUCUAUCACAAACAGAUAACUGAAGAAGCUCUAUAACAAUAAAGUGGAAAGAGGGUCUUUUAAGAUUAAAGAGUCCUCAAGAAGAAUUGAAGAAAUUCGUGGGACAUUGGGGAUGGACAGGAAAGGGAAACUGUUUAAUGUCACAAAUCGAAGGAGUGUAACAAGGAAUCAAAAGCAUCUACUGAUUGUUCAGCCCUGUCCAAGGUGCUCUACGGUACAAAACAAGUAUUAAGCCAGUUCCAGAUGACAAGGAGUUUCACACAGUAGUGACCUGAAUUAUGGAUGACCAAGGUCAGUGAUCUUAGAGGACACUCCUCAUUGAAUCCUCUUAGCUGCACCUAGGAAGAAUGAGGGGAAGAAACAAUGCAGGUGGCCAGCAGAACAUCAGCAACAACCAAAGUGCUAACUAGGGGCUCACGGAAGGCAGGGCUGUUGAAGUUGCAGAGUAUUAAGUCAGAGAAUAG